CUUGAAGAAUGUAGAAGAACCUCCAAUAAAGCGUGCAUCAGAAGAAUCCUGAGUGUUGCAUGCUCCUUGCUGGCGAGGUGCGCGUGACAAGUGGUGCCGAAACCCGGGAAGCGACGACCAUCAUCGCCGGCAUCAGCGGAGACCCCUGACUUCAGGAGGAUUCAGAACUGAGACGCAGGAGGGGAGGAUCCACCAACUUUCCGAGAGGGAGCAUCAAGACAGUGUAUCAGAAACGGAGAGCGAAGAAAGAAGUAAGUCUAGACAAAAACGGAGAACAACGGGAGCUCAAGAAGAAGGGAGCCGCAAAAGAAAAAGAAGGCCUAAGUAUAUAGAGAAGGUAUGUGGAAAUCAUAUAAAAAGGUUUACAUUUACAGUCAAGAAGAGCUUUCAUUCCUUUAACCCUAAUUCU
This 409-nucleotide long non-coding RNA is filed under the name Fukomys damarensis (Damara mole-rat). RNAcentral's name for it is "lncRNA (ENSFDAG00000022326.1)". The record is from RNAcentral. Lineage: Eukaryota; Metazoa; Chordata; Mammalia; Rodentia; Bathyergidae.